RNAcentral lists this ribosomal RNA (549 nucleotides) under uncultured archaeon. RNAcentral's name for it is "bacterial SSU rRNA". It matches the Rfam family "Archaeal small subunit ribosomal RNA", at positions 325 to 879 of the family's 1478-position model. The record is from RNAcentral.
ACGGGGGCAGCAGGCGCGAAAACUUUACAAUGCGGGCAACCGUGAUAAGGAAACCCCGAGUGCCAGCACAGGCUGGCUGUCCACCAGUGUAAACAACUGGUGAAGAAAGGGCCGGGCAAGACCGGUGCCAGCCGCCGCGGUAAUACCGGCGGCUCGAGUGGUGGCCGCUUUUACUGGGCUUAAAGGGUCCGUAGCUGGAUUCACAAGUCCCUUGAGAAAUCUAUCGGCUUAACUGAUAGGCGUUCAGGGGAUACUGUGGUUCUAGGGACCGGGAGAGGUAAGAGGUACUGCCGGGGUAGGAGUGAAAUCCUGUAAUCCCGGUGGGACGACCUAUAGCGAAGGCAUCUUACCAGAACGGCUCCGACAGUGAGGGACGAAAGCUGGGGGAGCAAACCGGAUUAGAUACCCGGGUAGUCCCAGCUGUAAACGAUGCGCGUUAGGUGUGUCAGUGACCACGUGUCACUGAGGUGCCGAAGGGAAACCGUGGAACGCACCGCCUGGGAAGUACGGUCGCAAGGCUGAAACUUAAAGGAAUUGGCGGGGGAGCAC